Molecule: ribosomal RNA, 312 nt
Filed under: Triticum aestivum (bread wheat)
Lineage: Eukaryota; Viridiplantae; Streptophyta; Magnoliopsida; Poales; Poaceae
Description: partial small subunit ribosomal RNA
Source: RNAcentral
AUGGCUGAGCUCAUUUGGGUACAGUCUCUGUUGAGAGAGUUGGGAGUCUCUCAAGAGCAGCCACCGGUUCUUUGGUGUGAUAAUAUUGGUGCGACGUAUCUUUCAUUUAAUCCAGUUUUUCUUGCUUGUACCAAGCACAUCGAAGUUGACUAUCACUUUGUGAGGGAACGUGUUGCACAGAAGCUUCUUCAUAUCAAGUUCAUCUCCUCCAAAGGUCAACUUGCCCACAUCUUCACGAAGCCACUUCCACAACCUCAGCUUGAAGGUUGUAGGCGCAAUCUUAACUUGCUUUGUACUUCAGGCCAUAGUUAA